CGAAAUGCGAUAAGUAAUGUGAAUUGCAGAAUUCAGUGAAUCAUCGAAUCUUUGAACGCACCUUGCGCUCCUUGGUAUUCCUUGGAGCAUGCCUGUUUGAGUAUCAUGAAAUCUUCAAAGUAAAUCUUUUGUUAACUCAAUUGGUUUCUACUUUGGUAUUGGAGGUCUUUGCAGCUUCACACCUGCUCCUCUUUGUUCAUUAGCUGGAUCUCAGUGUUAUGCUUGGUUCCACUCGGCGUGAUAAGUUAUCUAUCGCUGAGGACACUGUAAAAGGUGGCCAAGGUAAAUGCAGAUGAACCGCUUCUAAUAGUCCAUUGACUUGGACAAUACUUUUAUGAUCUGAUCUCAAAUCUGGUAGGACUACCCGCUGAACUUAAGC
This 379-nucleotide unclassified non-coding RNA is filed under the name plant metagenome. RNAcentral's name for it is "partial contains 5.8S ribosomal RNA, internal transcribed spacer 2, and large subunit ribosomal RNA". The stretch from base 1 to 106 matches the Rfam family "5.8S ribosomal RNA", at positions 49 to 154 of the family's 154-position model. The record is from RNAcentral.